UACGUAGGGGGCAAGCGUUGUCCGGAUUUAUUGGGCGUAAAGAGCGUGUAGGCGGCCAGGUAGGUCGGUUGUGAAAACUGGAGGCUCAACCUUCAGACGUCGACCGAAACCAUCUGGCUAGAGUCCGGGAGAGGAGAGUGGAAUUCCUGGUGUAGCGGUGAAAUGCGCAGAUAUCAGGAAGAACACCCGUGGCGAAAGCGGCUCUCUGGAACGGUACUGACGCUGAGACGCGAAAGCGUGGGGAGCAAACAGG
RNAcentral lists this ribosomal RNA (253 nucleotides) under uncultured bacterium. RNAcentral describes it as "partial 16S ribosomal RNA". It matches the Rfam family "Bacterial small subunit ribosomal RNA", at positions 524 to 776 of the family's 1533-position model. The record is from RNAcentral.